AUUGUGGCAACAGGAAAGGAGCAAACAGGGCAUAAAAUCCAAGUGCACAGCCUGAGGUCAUCAACAAAGUUUCCAAACAGAGUGGGAAGAAAUAGACAGGAAACAAAGACAGAAUAGAAGGAGCAAUUUAAGUGCCAGGAUUCAAAACCAAGUUGAAAGUGAGUGGCAGAAGGUCAAGUCAAAAGUAUUAGGCAUAUGUCAGUGCACAGUUACUAGGAGAGAGCAGGCUUCUGUAAAACCAGGGAAGCACAAUAGGAUUCUGAUGAAGAUCGGAGACAGAGAUCAACUGCCAUGGCCUUUAUACACAAUAUGGUUACAGUCCUGAUGUUGGUUGUGCUGCAUUGUCAUCUGGUGGCUCACUUGGGAGAGAAAAACUGUUCCCAGUCUCAUUAAUCCUAUAUGAAUAGAAAUACAAGGAAAACAUGAUUUAACAGUAGGGAAACAUAAAGAAGAUACAACAAUUUUAUUUCUCCUGGUGAUGUUUCUUUGCAAGUGGCUUUGGUCAAAGAGAAGGUCAAUGAGAAUGUCUGGAAAAUGGAUUCCAUCUGUUCACAAGAGUACAUGAAGAGGGGAAGGUUGUCAUUGUGUACAGACUGGAGAAUCAGACCUAAACAAAACCCAGAG
RNAcentral lists this long non-coding RNA (624 nucleotides) under Homo sapiens (human). RNAcentral's name for it is "HSALNT0321963". The record is from RNAcentral. Lineage: Eukaryota; Metazoa; Chordata; Mammalia; Primates; Hominidae.